RNAcentral lists this ribosomal RNA (253 nucleotides) under uncultured bacterium. RNAcentral describes it as "partial 16S ribosomal RNA". It matches the Rfam family "Bacterial small subunit ribosomal RNA", at positions 524 to 776 of the family's 1533-position model. The record is from RNAcentral.
UACGUAGGGACCGAGCGUUGUCCGGAAUCACUGGGCGUAAAGGGUGCGUAGGCGGGUCUUUAAGUCAGGGGUGAAAUCCUGGAGCUCAACUCCAGAACUGCCUUUGAUACUGAAGAUCUUGAGUUCGGGAGAGGUGAGUGGAACUGCGAGUGUAGAGGUGAAAUUCGUAGAUAUUCGCAAGAACACCAGUGGCGAAGGCGGCUCACUGGCCCGAUACUGACGCUGAGGCACGAAAGCGUGGGGAGCAAACAGG